AGGACCUGGGAACUUCAAGCCCUCUCUCCUCAACUGGAAAACCCAUUGGUCCUUCUCUGUGUCCGAGAUGACCUCUGGUCAGAAAAGCAGUUCUUCUGGAAAUAUGCCUAGAAGUGGAAUAGCUGGAUCAAAUGGGACUUCAAAUCCCAGCUUUUUUGAGGAACCUCCAGACUGACUUCCACAGUGGUUGCAACAGUCCACACUCCUACCAACAGUCCAGGAGAGUUCCUUUUUCUCCACAGCCUCUCCAGCAUUUGUUAUUGGUGGUUUUCUUGAUCUUGGCCAUUCUUUCUGGAGUGAGAUGGAAUUUCAGUGUGGUUGUAAUUUGCAUUUCUCUAAUGAUCCGUGAUACUGAACAUUUUUUAAUGUAUUUAUUUGCAAUUUGUAUUUCUGUAUUCAUCUCACACGUCCAUUUUUGGAUUGGA
Cavia porcellus (domestic guinea pig) is the source of this 425-nucleotide long non-coding RNA. RefSeq lists it as uncharacterized. Lineage: Eukaryota; Metazoa; Chordata; Mammalia; Rodentia; Caviidae. The record is from RefSeq and is a predicted model, not a curated record. The transcript has 2 exons.